Molecule: non-coding RNA, 3972 nt
Organism: Aegilops tauschii subsp. strangulata
Lineage: Eukaryota; Viridiplantae; Streptophyta; Magnoliopsida; Poales; Poaceae
Source: RefSeq, a predicted model, not a curated record
GCUGAAUUUAUAGUCCAUUGCAUUCAAUUUUGCUACGACGCAUGCUUCUCUAGCUAACUGCACAAACCUUUCCACAUGUGAUUUAUACUAGCGGGUAGUGCGCGGCGGCACGCCGCGCUACAUGGAUUGAUAAGCUACUAGCGGGUAGUGCGCGGCGGCACGCCGCGCCACAAGGAGUGAUAAGCUAUUUAGUUUUUUUAAUAUUUGAUAAGUCAUCUCAAAAUUUGAUUCAUGGUAAAGUAGUUUAUACAAGGCCCUGUUGGUUUGCUUGAGGUUUGUUGUUUUUGUGAAGUUUUUGAGAAUUUGUUGUAUGUUUUACAUGUGUGUAUCUUUGUAGUGGCCAAGAGAAUAAUUGUGCACUACCCAACUUAUGUUGCUCCCACCGUGAUCACUGAAUUAACACAUGGGUUGGAAGUCGGCAACACUUUAAGCACACUAACUUGGCAUAGAUGUUCUGGAAAACUAAAUCCGCAAGAGACAAAUUCAGGUUGCUACAGAGAAGACAUGACUCUGAAUGGAAAAAAUUAUUGAAGUUGGUAGAAUUGCACCCCCUGUUAUCAUUCACACUACCUUGCAUAUUCCAGCCAACAUAGAAUAUACUGUCAACAUUAUGCCAAAAAAAAAACACAACUGAAUUAUUAACUGAGAAUAGAGUACAUGUACAACAUAUUCUAUCUGAAUAGUAAAAUACUUCUAUUAGUAUCUAGAGAAUUUCUUGCAUUUAUCCAUCUUGUUAGUAUCACAUAUUUUGGACAUUGGUGCUGUCAUGCGAAGAUCUCCAUAAAUGCAACAACAUAUUUGUUGACAAAGGUAUAUCUUCAUAAAACCAUACUCUGCUACCCCAUAUCAGUAGUAGCAUUAUAAUCACAGCCUUGAGAUUCUAUUUGUGAAGAUAUAGAAUGGCACAGCUACACAAAUAAUUUAAGCACCAAUUGUGUUUUACCUUCAGUUCUACUAUCUAGAGGAAAAAAACGAAGAGAAAUAAAUAAAUUAGGAGCAGCAAGUCACCAACACCACCUGUCCACUCACCUACCCCCUUCUGCGCACCACCUGUCCAACCCCCUGCUGCGCUAAGCUAAACAACACACCGCGAAAGACUACCACCAUCUUCCGCCGAUCGCCGGCCACCUCCGGCCUGCCUACGCGAGCUCCUCCCGACGGCGCCACCCCCCUCACCUCGACGCGGGAACACUGCCGUCGGAGGAGGAGGAGAUGGAGUUCCUGUACGAUUGUGCCGCCAUCGCCACCGUCGUCGUCGCGGACGUGGCGGCCGCGCUCGUGGGCACCGCCGGUAUCCAGGCGUCCUCUCCCUCUGCCGUCGCGUCCGAGAGAGGUACCGGAGCGGCCAGCUGAAGAGGGCUCUGUGCGAGGCUGAAGCCUACGCCUUCAAGGUAUAAAAUCCUUCUCGAUUCGGUUCAGUAGUUGCUCAACUCAGAUGGCUGAAUUUGUUCCAAUUCUAUCGAUUCCUUUCCUGGGACAGAAUUUAGAGUAUGAUGUUCUGUAGCGAGUGAAUUGCAGAAAACAUCGACAUUAAAGGCUAGGGUUACAGAAACCACACUUCUACAGUUUUGUGCCAAAAAACACUAAUUCCGAGGCUAAUUUUUUGCAAAUAACACUAGUUGGCGGCUUUGGCCCAUUUAGUGACGAUUAUGACAGGUGGGACCCGUAAAAGCUGACGUGGCAUAGCGGUUGACAUUUGACAAUGUUAGGCAGGGGAUUUAUACAGAUUUACAAAACAGUCCCUGUAAUUUCACAAAGACACCCUCAUUCGAAAAUGAAAAAAGCAAUCAGCCCCCACCCCGUCGCCUGCCUCCUCGUCUGUCCUCCACGGAGGUGGCAGCGUGCUCGUGGCCAGCGCCGGCGGUCGGCGCUGCUCGGCCAGCGCCGGAGAGGUGCGGGGGAGCUGCUGGCGGCCGGCACAGGGAGGUACGGGGAGUUGUUGGUCAGCCGGCGCAGGCCCCUACUUCUUCUCGGCCGGUGCAGGGAUGAUACAGUAGAGCUGCUGGUCGGCCGGCGCAGGCCCCUACUUCUUCUCGGCCGGUGCAGGGAUGAUACAGUAGAGCUGCUGGUCGGCCGGCGCACGGAGCUGCUACUGCUUGGACGUCGCAGGGAGAUGCCUCUGCUUGGCCGCCGCAUGAGGAGGCGCUGUGGAGCUGCUGCUCGUGGCUCGGCGGCCUCGGCCCGCAUGCCGGUGCGCUCGAGCUCCACCGGCUCGGACGUCAGUCAACGGUGACGGCGCAGCUUGUGAGGCCGGGAGGAAAAAAGGAUCUGCUGCGGUGUGGCUGGAGUCCCCACCCUCGACGUCGUGCUUGACUGCCAUGAUGCGGUCGAAUUCUGCGAGCUGGCUGAGAGGGAAGGGCGCGACGGCAAAGGUCCACAACCAUGGCGAUGGGCGGUGGCGGCUCGUUUUCCCGGCCAGAUUCUGGCGGAUACGUAGGGGUGGCGGCGUGCACAGGCCUGCCGCCGGCGGCGGCGUUCACGGGCGGCCGUCGAGGGGACUGUGACGGUCAACAGGCGGUAGCGGCUUGUUUUCCUGGCUGAACUCCCCAUGUUUUUCUUUUCUUGAGCAUAUGGGAGUCGCUAUUUGUUUCUUAAGAAAGGAGUUUUUUGCAAAAAGAAAAGUCUAACGACGUCUAGUCCGAACCGUUAUGCCACGUCAGCUUUUGCGGGCUCCAUCUAUCAUAAUCAGGGUUAAAACGAGCAAACUGAGUGACUAGUGUUUUCUGCAAAAAAAAUAGCCUCAGAAUUAGUGGUUUUUGGCAUAAAACUAUAAAAGUGUGGUUUCUGCAACCCUAGCCUUUAAUGUCGAUGUUUUUUGCAAUUCACUCUUCUGUAGCUGUGAGUGCUUCAGGUGUGCCUUUGAUUUGUUCAUUGAUGUUGAUAGCUAGUACAAUUGAUUGGAUACAUCUCCCGCCUCGCCUCCUCUGACACGUACGAUUCUCGCCAUCUCACUCAUGUUCUCGUGGUGCUGUGGGCCAACAUCGGUGGAGCUGCGCAUGGGAUGAGCAGAUUGGCCUUGCUCCUGAAUUCUGGCCGUGUUUGGGCUGGCCGGCGAAUAUGUCUAAUUCCGGUGCUUUGGGUGCUUCAGCUUCGGUUCCUUUGCUUCCCUUAAUGUUCUGGUGGCCGUGCGUUUCCUCGGCUUCUUCUGCCUGUGUUGAGCUUUCCUGAAUCCCUGGCGAGUAAUUGUUUUUUCUAGAAUGCUCAGUUCCUGGGUGGAUGCUUAUGAAUCAGAUAAGUGGACUUGGGCACUUGACUCUUUUUUAAUAGGAAAAAUAGUGAUUAAAUUCUUAUAAUUCAGGGCGACCCGGCAUUGUUUUCUAGCAAAAGGCAGCUUUUACUAAUAUUACUGUCUAGGUUGAUGAACUGGUGCAUUUGUUGUGACUGAUAUAUAAUUUCUAAUUUUGAUAGUCUGACUGAUACAUUUCCACCCCUCAAUUUCUCUUGGUUAUGUGCACCGUGGCCUCUUAACUGAUAUAGUACUCUUGUUUCGUUGAUGAAAUGGAACAAAGAGGUGCAGCUCCUGUAUUUCGAGAAGUGAAAAUCUUAUGGUUAUAUUGUACAUUGGUGCUACCACGUCAGGUAAGUGGUAGAUCCCUGCAUCCAAUACCAGUUUAGACAGUAAUACUGGUUAAAUUAAAUCAUGAUCAACAGUUAAAAUCUGCUAUAAGUUAAGGUGAAUGGUCCCUUGAAUUGUAUGUCUGGUUCACAUGAUGAAUCCUUUGUGCAGGGAGUUCUAGUGAUCCAUUAUAUAGGGAGCUAUGGCAUGCUUGCGCUGGGCCGUUGGUGCUUCGCCAAGGUGAAAGAGUUUACUACUUCCACAUGGACAUAUGGAACAGGUAUAUCUCAUCGGCAUGGGUGUUUGCUUUUCUUGAUGGCCAAUAACUAUGAAUUUGCUACUCAGUGCAAACAGUAGCUACUUCUAUUAUGGAACGAUACUUGCUUCUUGUGUUAAAAUGACAAUGUGACUUUGUU